GCAUAUCAAUAAGCGGAGGAAAAGAAACCAACAGGGAUUGCCUCAGUAACGGCGAGUGAAGCGGCAAGAGCUCAAAUUUGAAAUCUGGCCCCUCCGGGGUCCGAGUUGUAAUUUGGAGAGGAUGCUUCGGGCGUGGCCCCCAUCUAAGUGCCCUGGAACGGGCCGUCAUAGAGGGUGAGAAUCCCGUCUGGGAUGGGUGGUCCCGCCCGUGUGAAGCUCCUUCGAAGAGUCGAGUUGUUUGGGAAUGCAGCUCUAAGAGGGUGGUAAAUUUCAUCUAAAGCUAAAUAUUGGCCGGAGACCGAUAGCGCACAAGUAGAGUGAUCGAAAGAUGAAAAGCACUUUGAAAAGAGAGUUAAACAGCACGUGAAAUUGUUGAAAGGGAAGCGUUGGCAACCAGACUCGCCCGGGAGGGCUCAGCCGGCACGUGUGCCGGUGCACUCCCCCCCGGGCGGGCCAGCGUCGGUUUGGGCGGUCGGUCAAAGGCUCCGGGAAUGUAGCACCCUUCGGGGUGCCUUAUAGCCCGGAGUGCCAUGCGACCUGCCCAGACCGAGGAACGCGCUCCGGCACGGACGCUGGCGUAAUGGUUGUCAACGGCCCGUCUUGAAACACGGACCAAGGAGUCUAACAUCUAUGCGAGUGUUCGGGUGUCAAACCCGUCCGCGCAGUGAAAGCGAACGGAGGUGGGAACCCCUUACGGGGUGCACCAUCGACCGAUCCUGAUGUCUUCGGAUGGAUUUGAGUAAGAGCAUAGCUGUUGGGACCCGAAAGAUGGUGAACUAUGCCUGAAUAGGGCGAAGCCAGAGGAAACUCUGGUGGAGGCUCGCAGCGGUUCUGACGUGCAAAUCGAUCGUCAAAUUUGGGUAUAGGGGCGAAAGACUAAUCGAACCAUCUGGUAGCUGGUUCCUGCCGA
This 910-nucleotide ribosomal RNA is filed under the name Talaromyces piceae. Its description in RNAcentral is "LSU rRNA". It matches the Rfam family "Eukaryotic large subunit ribosomal RNA", at positions 38 to 964 of the family's 3401-position model. Lineage: Eukaryota; Fungi; Ascomycota; Eurotiomycetes; Eurotiales; Trichocomaceae. The record is from RNAcentral.